GAAUGUAACACCCCGAAACCUUUGUGCUUAAUUUUCGGGAGAGGUGACUUGGGAACUGGAGAGUGAAAUGCGAGAGAAGCUUCCUCAUCAAUUUGUAACAAAUUUGGAGGACCAAAUUUUUUAAAGGUGAGGGGAAUGUAACACCCCAAAAACUUUAUGCUUAAUUAUUGUAUAAAACCUUUAUUUAUUUAGGCCAUAAAGCCAUUAAAUCUUUAAAUUUAUGU
This 224-nucleotide long non-coding RNA is filed under the name Carica papaya (papaya). Its description in RNAcentral is "long non-coding RNA (CPAP_LNC000780)". The record is from RNAcentral. Lineage: Eukaryota; Viridiplantae; Streptophyta; Magnoliopsida; Brassicales; Caricaceae.